GUUGACCUCGAAUCAGGUAGGAAUACCCGCUGAACUUAAGCAUAUCAAUAAGCGGAGGAAAAGAAACCAACAGGGAUUGCCCUAGUAACGGCGAGCGAAGCGGCAACAGCUCAAAUUUGAAAUCUGGUCUUCUGGGCCCGAGUUGUAAUUUGCAGAGGAUGCUUCUGGCAAGGUGCCUUCCGAGUUCCCUGGAACGGGACGCCAUAGAGGGUGAGAGCCCCGUACGGUUGGACACCGAGCCGUUGUGUAGCUCCUUCAACGAGUCGAGUAGUUUGGGAAUGCUGCUCUAAAUGGGAGGUAUAUCUCUUCUAAAGCUAAAUACCGGCCAGAGACCGAUAGCGCACAAGUAGAGUGAUCGAAAGAUGAAAAGCACUUUGAAAAGAGAGUUAAACAGCACGUGAAAUUGUUGAAAGGGAAGCGCUUGUGACCAGACUUGUGCCCGGUGAAUUAGCUGGUGUUCUCACCAGUCGACUUUGCCGGCUCAGGCCAGCAUCGGUUUGUUAUUGGGGAGAAAAACGAUGGGAAUGUGGCUCCUUCGGGAGUGUUAUAGCCCGCCGUAUAAUACCCUUUGGCAGACCGAGGACCGCGCAUCUGCAUGGAUGCUGGCGUAAUGGUCACCAGCGACCCGUCUUGAAACACGGACCAAGGAGUCAACCUUAUGUGCAAGUGUUUGGGUGUUAAACCCCUACGCGGAAUUAACGUGAACGUAGGUGAGAGCCUUCGGGCGCAUCAUCGACCGAUUCUGAUGUUCUCGGAUGGAUUUGAGUAAGAGCACACAGGGUUGGACCCGAAAGAAGGUGAACUAUGCUUGUAUAGGGUGAAGCCAGAGGAAACUCUGGUGGAGGCUCGCAGCGGUUCUGACGUGCAAAUCGAUCGUCAAAUAUGAGCAUGGGGGCGAAAGACUAAUCGAACCUUCUAGUAGCUGGUUC
Molecule: ribosomal RNA, 929 nt
Filed under: Knoxdaviesia capensis
Lineage: Eukaryota; Fungi; Ascomycota; Sordariomycetes; Microascales; Gondwanamycetaceae
Description: eukaryotic LSU rRNA
Rfam family: Eukaryotic large subunit ribosomal RNA
Source: RNAcentral